This 504-nucleotide ribosomal RNA is filed under the name uncultured bacterium. RNAcentral's name for it is "partial 16S ribosomal RNA". It matches the Rfam family "Bacterial small subunit ribosomal RNA", at positions 29 to 523 of the family's 1533-position model. The record is from RNAcentral.
AUUGAACGCUGGCGGCAGGCCUAACACAUGCAAGUCGAGCGGUAACACAGGGAGCUUGCUCCUGGGUGACGAGCGGCGGACGGGUGAGUAAUGUCCGGGAAACUGCCUGAUGGAGGGGGAUAACUACUGGAAACGGUAGCUAAUACCGCAUAACGUCGCAAGACCAAAGAGGGGGACCUUCGGGCCUCUUGCCAUCAGAUGUGCCCAGAUGGGAUUAGCUAGUAGGUGGGGUAACGGCUCACCUAGGCGACGAUCCCUAGCUGGUCUGAGAGGAUGACCAGCCACACUGGAACUGAGACACGGUCCAGACUCCUACGGGAGGCAGCAGUGGGGAAUAUUGCACAAUGGGCGCAAGCCUGAUGCGGCCAUGCCGCGUGUAUGAAGAAGGCCUUCGGGUUGUAAAGUACUUUCAGCGGGGAGGAAGGCGACAAGGUUAAUAACCUUGUCGAUUGACGUUACCCGCAGAAGAAGCACCGGCUAACUCCGUGCCAGCCGCCGCGGUAA